RNAcentral lists this ribosomal RNA (274 nucleotides) under uncultured bacterium. RNAcentral's name for it is "partial 16S ribosomal RNA". It matches the Rfam family "Bacterial small subunit ribosomal RNA", at positions 523 to 796 of the family's 1533-position model. The record is from RNAcentral.
AUACGGAGGGGGUUAGCGUUGUUCGGAAUUACAGGGCGUAAAGCGUACGUAGGCGGAUUGGAAAGUAUGGGGUGAAAUCCCAGGGCUCAACCCUGGAACUGCCUCAUAAACUCCCAGUCUAGAGUUCGAGAGAGGUGAGUGGAAUUCCGAGUGUAGAGGUGAAAUUCGUAGAUAUUCGGAGGAACACCAGUGGCGAAGGCGGCUCACUGGCUCGAUACUGACGCUGAGGUACGAAAGUGUGGGGAGCAAACAGGAUUAGAUACCCUAGUAGUCC